Molecule: ribosomal RNA, 465 nt
Filed under: uncultured Streptococcus sp.
Lineage: Bacteria; Bacillati; Bacillota; Bacilli; Lactobacillales; Streptococcaceae
Description: bacterial SSU rRNA
Rfam family: Bacterial small subunit ribosomal RNA
Source: RNAcentral
CCUACGGGAGGCAGCAGUAGGGAAUCUUCGGCAAUGGGGGGAACCCUGACCGAGCAACGCCGCGUGAGUGAAGAAGGUUUUCGGAUCGUAAAGCUCUGUUGUUAAGGAAGAACGAGUGUGAGAAUGGAAAGUUCAUACUGUGACGGUACUUAACCAGAAAGGGACGGCUAACUACGUGCCAGCAGCCGCGGUAAUACGUAGGUCCCGAGCGUUGUCCGGAUUUAUUGGGCGUAAAGCGAGCGCAGGCGGUUAGAUAAGUCUGAAGUUAAAGGCAGUGGCUCAACCAUUGUAGGCUUUGGAAACUGUUUAACUUGAGUGCAGAAGGGGAGAGUGGAAUUCCAUGUGUAGCGGUGAAAUGCGUAGAUAUAUGGAGGAACACCGGUGGCGAAAGCGGCUCUCUGGUCUGUAACUGACGCUGAGGCUCGAAAGCGUGGGGAGCGAACAGGAUUAGAUACCCCAGUAGUC